GUUUUUUUUUUUUUUUUUUUUUUUUAAAUUUUAUAGUUGGCAUUAUUAGUUAUUGGCAUAUUUUUCCCACUCACAUUGAUGCUUAUGCAAGCACACUCACGGGGUCUCUUAGAUGGCAUGCGCGAUCAUAUAUAAUUUUCGUUCUGCGUGGUAAGUAAAUUUUUAAAUCAACCAUUGAAUUUCUAACUUGAAAAAAAUGACACUGAACGUUGAUGCAGUCUGGUUGUGAAGGAAAAAGGUCGGGGUCCUUGUGGAGCGUUAGGUUAUAUUAUUGUAGUUGGUGAUGAAUGUCGGCCAAGGGCUUAGUGGAGCAUUGAGAAUCGCAUGUAGCUUGAAAAAUUGUGAAAUUAUUGGAGCUGUGACAACUGUGAUGUCUAUGUGAUGAACUGUAUGUUGUUUUAUUUGUACUAUGUCAUGCCAUCCAAUAACUGCUAGUCAUGCAUCUGGAUUUUUAUUGUUAUUGCUUGUCAUGAUUAUAUUAAUUGUGCUAUGUCAUGUGGUUAUGCUAUAAAAUUGGAAAAAUUGGGAUUUUUGGUGUUAUAACAAAAAAAAUAAAAUGAUUUUAUGGGUACGUGUGUAUCACAACCCCAAGUCGAGAUGGAGUAUUAUCUUGGUGGAGUUCCUUUAGUCACUUGAGAGUGUGUUAAAUUGAGUGACGUCUCUUGAGCUGUCAUCGGAUGAUAGCAGGCUUGGCCAAGACGAUAAAAUUCUUGGUACAACUUCAUGGCCCCUUUGUUGGCGUGGGUUAAAGGAUGUCUGGUUACUUACGCGUUGGGCGUGGAGCUGGGCAUCACUCGUUACGAAGUUAGGACUGUUCAUUCAGGCUGCGUAUUUCCCCGACUUGGUUUGGAACCCGAAAAAUCAAAUUUUUGUUUCGAGUUCAGGCCUGGAACAAUUCAAGGCCAGAACCCGGGUUGCAAAAUCUAGAUACACUAGGCUAGGAAGGUGCAUCCACAUUCUCUAUGCUACGGGGCUACAACUGUUGGCUGGCACUAAAAGGGAACUGGGAAGCAGAACCUUUUCUUGAUUUCUUCUGCCAUAUAUGUUUGCAGUCUCGAGGAAAUAGUUUGAGAGAUAGAGGUGGUUGAUUGACCUAUGACUGUCUUCUAUCAUUAAAGAAUGAAAAGACCAGUCCAUGAGUUUCCUUUUGAUCAAGUCAUCAAAGAUAUGAAAAUUUGAACCCAUUUCUUGGUCUUCCA
Long non-coding RNA from Juglans regia (Persian walnut), 1199 nucleotides. RefSeq lists it as uncharacterized. NCBI's taxonomy places the organism in Eukaryota, Viridiplantae, Streptophyta, Magnoliopsida, Fagales, Juglandaceae. The record is from RefSeq and is a predicted model, not a curated record. The transcript is spliced from 2 exons.